UACAGAGGUCUCAAGCGUUGUUCGGAUUCAUUGGGCGUAAAGGGUGCGUAGGCGGGCUUUUAAGUCAGUGGUGAAAGCUUCGAGCUUAACUCGAAAAUUGCCAUUGAUACUAUUAGUCUUGAAUUCAGUUGAGGUCGGCGGAAUGUGUCGUGUAGAGGUGAAAUUCUUAGAUAUGACACAGAACACCAAUUGCGAAGGCAGCUGGCUAAUCUGACAUUGACGCUGAGGCACGAAAGCGUGGGGAUCAAACAGG
RNAcentral lists this ribosomal RNA (253 nucleotides) under uncultured bacterium. Its description in RNAcentral is "partial 16S ribosomal RNA". It matches the Rfam family "Bacterial small subunit ribosomal RNA", at positions 524 to 776 of the family's 1533-position model. The record is from RNAcentral.